AAGAGUUGCAAAACUCCCAAACCAUUGUGAACAUACCUUCAACGUUGCUUCGGCGGGUUGGCCCCGGUCUCCGGGGUCCCCGGCCCUACUCGGGCGCCCGCCGGAGGUAUCUAACUCUUGAACUUUUAUGGCCUCUCUGAGUAACUUAUACAAUAAGUCA
Molecule: unclassified non-coding RNA, 160 nt
Filed under: uncultured Ascomycota
Lineage: Eukaryota; Fungi; Ascomycota
Description: sequence contains ITS1
Source: RNAcentral